GCCAAACUGAAAGGGUACUGAAAGCACACAGGCAUUCUGCAGCAUAGGAAUUUCAAAGCAAGAAUCAUUAGCUAAAAUAGGAAACUGCCGAUGGAAAGUUGGGGCUUUCAACAAGUCAUGAAUCCCCGGGAUUAUCCAGCCCACAUCCCCUGAUCUUUUUAAAGAACUGAAGCAUUGAAUUGAAGAAAGCAUUUCUGAGAACAUUCCCAUUUCCAUUCCAGGUUAAUUUCUUUGGAGAAACCGUGGCUCUCACAGAGGAGACUUUAAUAUCCUGGGAUCUGGUACAAUGCACAUAAUAUCAUUCUCAAAGAAGAACAACUGGAAGACCCCAUCAUCUACAGAACUCCAUCUUCCAAUUGGAUCCUGAAUAGGGGUUUGUAUCAUCAGCAAAUUCAGUUAAGAACACCAUCUAUGCCAUUAUUCAAGGUAUUAUUUAAAAUAUUCAAUAGCUCAGAGCCAAACACAAAGCCUCUUGGAGAUUCCUUCCAUGCUGAUGUUGCUGAUGAAUCCAUGAAUGAUGGAUCUGGGGUUAGUCAUUCUUUCAGAUGUUGUUUAAGACACUGACAUUCAUAAGAUGAAAACACAAUUUGGUUUUCCAUCUGAAAAUAGCAAUGAACCUAAGACUUCUAAUGCAUUCAGGAGCAA
This is a non-coding RNA of Phascolarctos cinereus (koala), 645 nucleotides long. The record is from RefSeq and is a predicted model, not a curated record. NCBI's taxonomy places the organism in Eukaryota, Metazoa, Chordata, Mammalia, Diprotodontia, Phascolarctidae.